CAGGUAUCUGAUGCUUUAUGCCUACGUGAGCAUUGUCUAUCUUUAAUACAAAGAGGGAAGAAUGCCAUUUUAAAGUCAAUUAUGCUGAAGGUCUAACAACUUAGUCCACAAUAUGAAGUUUCUGACAUGUGGAGUGUGGAAGUGACAGCAGAAGAUCAUCUCUGAUCCAUCUCUGAAACUGUUUGAUACACCAAGAAUCCAACUUCAAAAAAAAGAAGGAAGGCAGCAUCAUAAAAUGUUCCUUUGUAGUCAUUCCAACUGUUCUUUCACUGAUGAGACACCAGCCUUCCCAGAAGACAGCUCAA
Long non-coding RNA from Pezoporus occidentalis (night parrot), 305 nucleotides. RefSeq lists it as uncharacterized. The record is from RefSeq and is a predicted model, not a curated record. NCBI's taxonomy places the organism in Eukaryota, Metazoa, Chordata, Aves, Psittaciformes, Psittacidae. The transcript has 3 exons.